AAAUCAUAGAAUUUUUUAAAAUUCAUGAUGUCGUAAGGGAAAAUAAUGAUAAUACCUUACUAUGAGUGUUGUCCAAAUCUGGUGCCAGAAGACUCGGUAAGACCAGAAACGCAAACGUUAAUCAUCAUAAACAGGCGUAAAGGGUUUGUAGGCAGCUUUCAUCAGAUUAUGAUUUCAAAAUAAAGUCGUCUAAUUGAAAGCUAGAAUCAAAAAGAGGUUAUAGUGUAUAACGCCUAGAGGAGGGCUGAUAUCCAUAGAUCCUAGGCAGAAUACUAAGGGCGAAGGCCACUUUCCAUUAAUGAUUGACGCUGAGAAACGAAGGUUAGGGUAGGAAAUAGGAUUAGAUACCCCGGUACUCCUUUCUGUAAACGAUGAAUGGUAGUCAUUAGUUUAAGUUUAUAUAAAAAGACUAAAAUAACUAGAGACGAAGUUAACACAAUAACCAUUCCGCCUUGUGAGUACUACUGCAAAGUAGAAAACAAAAAAAUUAGUCGGUCUCGAAGCAAACGGAGUGAAGCAUGUUAUU
This 526-nucleotide ribosomal RNA is filed under the name Haploporus monomitica. Its description in RNAcentral is "SSU rRNA". It matches the Rfam family "Bacterial small subunit ribosomal RNA", at positions 412 to 946 of the family's 1533-position model. Lineage: Eukaryota; Fungi; Basidiomycota; Agaricomycetes; Polyporales; Polyporaceae. The record is from RNAcentral.